GAUAAUAGGUUGAUCUUCCCCAAGAGUUCACAUCGACGGGAAGGUUUGGCACCUCGAUGUCGGCUCUUCGUCACUUGGAGCUGUAGUAUGUUUCAAGAGUUGGGCUGUUCGUCCAUUAAAGCGGAUUAGGAAUAGGCGUAAUCGGACCUGCUU
RNAcentral lists this non-coding RNA (153 nucleotides) under Musa acuminata subsp. malaccensis (wild Malaysian banana). RNAcentral describes it as "Bacterial large subunit ribosomal RNA". It matches the Rfam family "Bacterial large subunit ribosomal RNA", at positions 2473 to 2622 of the family's 2925-position model. Lineage: Eukaryota; Viridiplantae; Streptophyta; Magnoliopsida; Zingiberales; Musaceae. The record is from Rfam by way of RNAcentral.